UACGGAGGGGGCUAGCGUUGUUCGGAAUUACUGGGCGUAAAGCGCGCGUAGGCGGACCUGCAAGUCGGGGGUGAAAGCCCGAGGCUCAACCUCGGAACUGCCUUCGAUACUGCGGGUCUCGAGUCCGGGAGAGGGGAGUGGAAUUCCUAGUGUAGAGGUGAAAUUCGUAGAUAUUAGGAAGAACACCAGUGGCGAAGGCGGCUCACUGGCCCGGUACUGACGCUGAGGCGCGAAAGCGUGGGGAGCAAACAGG
This 253-nucleotide ribosomal RNA is filed under the name uncultured bacterium. Its description in RNAcentral is "partial 16S ribosomal RNA". It matches the Rfam family "Bacterial small subunit ribosomal RNA", at positions 524 to 776 of the family's 1533-position model. The record is from RNAcentral.